UGUACGACCCAGUGAGACAGGUUAGGAGCGGUACUGUAUGACCCAGUGAGACAGGUUAGGAGCGGUACUGUUUGACCCAGUGAGACAGGUUAGGAGCGGUACUGUAUGACCCAGUGAGACAGGUUAGGACCGGUACUGUAUGACCCAGUGAGACAGGUUAGGAGCGGUACUGUAUGACCCAGUGAGACAGGUUAGGAGCGGUACUGUAUGACCCAGUGAGACAGGUUAGGAGCGGUACUGUAUGACCCAGUGAGACAGGUUAGGAGCGGUACUGUUUGACCCAGUGAGACAGGUUAGGAGCGGUACUGUAUGACCCAGUGAGACAGGUUAGGAGCGGUACUGUAUGACCCAGUGAGACAGGUUAGAAGCGGUACUGUACGACCCAGUGAGACAGGUUAGGAGCAGUACUGUACGACCCAGUGAGACAGGUUAGGAGCGGUACUGUAUGACCCAGUGAGACCGGUUAGGAGCGGUACUGUUUGACCCAGUGAGACAGGUUAGGACCGGUACUGUAUGACCCAGUGAGACAGGUUAGGAACGGUACUGUACGACCCAGUGAGACAGGUUAGGAGAGGUACUGUAUGACCCAGUGAGACAAGUUAGGAUCGGUACUGUUUGACCCAGUGAGACAGGUUAGGAGCGGUACUGUUUGACCCAGUGAGACAGGUUAGGACCGGUACUGUAUGACCCAGUGAGACAGGUUAGGAGCGGUACUGUACGACCCAGUGAGACAGGUUAGGAGCGGUACUGUACGACCCAGUGAGACAGGUUAGGAGCAGUACUGUACGACCCAGUGAGACAGGUUAGGAGCAGUACUGUACGACCCAGUGAGACAGGUUAGGAGCGGUACUGUAUGACCCAGUGAGACAGGUUAGGAGCAGUACUGUAUGACCCAGUGAGACAGGUUAGGAGCGGUACUGUAUGACCCAGUGAGACAGGUUAGGAGCGGUACUGUAUGACCCAGUGAGACAGGUUAGAAGCGGUACUGUACGACCCAGUGAGACAGGUUAGGAGCAGUACUGUAUGACCCAGUGAGACAGGUUAGGAGCAGUACUGUACGACCCAGUGAGACAGGUUAGGAGCGGCACUGUAUGACCCAGUGAGACCGGUUAGGAGCGGUACUGUUUGACCCAGUGAGACAGGUUAGGACCGGUACUGUAUGACCCAGUGAGACAGGUUAGGAACGGUACUGUACGACCCAGUGAGACAGGUUAGGAGAGGUACUGUAUGACCCAGUGAGACAAGUUAGGAUCGGUACUGUUUGACCCAGGGAGACAGGUUAGGAGCGGUACUGUAUGACCCAGUGAGACAAGUUAGGAUCGGUACUGUUUGACCCAGUGAGACAGGUUAGAAGCGGUACUGUAUGACCCAGUGAGACAGGUUAGAAGCGGUACUGUAUGACCAUGUGAGACAGGUUAGGAGCGGUACUGUAUGACCCAGUGAGACAGGUUAGGAGCGGUACUGUUUGACCCAGUGAGACAGGUUAGGACCGGUACUGUAUGACCCAGUGAGACAGGUUAGGAGCGGUACUGUACGACCCAGUGAGACAGGUUAGGAGCAGUACUGUACGACCCAGUGAGACAGGUUAGGGGCGGUACUGUAUGACCCAGUGAGACAGGUUAGGAGCGGUACUGUAUGACCCAGUGAGACAGGUUAGGAGCAGUACUGUACGACCCAGUGAGACAGGUUAGGGGCGGUACUGUAUGACCCAGUGAGACAGGUUAGGAGCGGUACUGUAUGACCCAGUGAGACAGGUUAGGAGCAGUACUGUUUGACCCAGUGAGACAGGUUAGGAGCGGUACUGUACGACCCAGUGAGACAGGUUAGGAGCGGUACUGUAUGACCCAGUGAGACAGGUUAGGAGCAGUACUGUUUGACCCAGUGAGACAGGUUAGGAGCGGUACUGUACGACCCAGUGAGACAGGUUAGGAGCGGUACUGUAUGACCCAGUGAGACAGGUUAGGAGCGGUACAGUAGGACCCAGUGAGACAGGUUAGGAGCGGUACUGUUUGACCCAGUGAGACAGGUUAGGAGCGGUACUGUAUGACCCAGUGAGAUAGGUUAGGAGCGGUACUGUAUGACCCAGUGAGACAGGUUAGAAGCGGUACUGUACGACCCAGUGAGACAGGUUAGGAGCAGUACUGUAUGACCCAGUGAGACAGGUUAGGAGCAGUACUGUACGACCCAGUGAGACAGGUUAGGAGCGGUACUGUAUGACCCAGUGAGACCGGUUAGGAGCGGUACUGUUUGACCCAGUGAGACAGGUUAGGACCGGUACUGUAUGACCCAGUGAGACAGGUUAGGAACGGUACUGUACGACCCAGUGAGACAGGUUAGGAGAGGUACUGUAUGACCCAGUGAGACAAGUUAGGAUCGGUACUGUUUGACCCAGUGAGACAAGUUAGGAUCGGUACUGUUUGACCCAGUGAGACAGGUUAGAAGCGGUACUGUAUGACCCAGUGAGACAGGUUAGAAGCGGUUCUGUAUGACCCAGUGAGACAGGUUAGGACCGGUACUGUAUGACCCAGUGAGACAGGUUAGGAGCGGUACUGUUUGACCCAGUGAGACAGGUUAGGACCGGUACUGUAUGACCCAGUGAGACAGGUUAGGAGCGGUACUGUACGACCCAGUGAGACAGGUUAGGAGCAGUACUGUACGACCCAGUGAGACAGGUUAGGGGCGGUACUGUAUGACCCAGUGAGACAGGUUAGGAGCGGUACUGUAUGACCCAGUGAGACAGGUUAGGAGCGGUACUGUAUGACCCAGUGAGACAGGUUAGGAGCGGUACUGUAUGACCCAGUGAGACAGGUUAGGAGCGGUACUGUAUGACCCAGUGAGACAGGUUAGAAGCGGUACUAUACGCCCCCUCUCGACUCACAUACACUGGGAAUCAAUGUCCCCCUGACCAGGAUACCAGGUCCCCUGCAGGGUGGGUUUAUUAAAACUGACCUGUGUGUGUGUGUGUGUGUGUGUGUGUGUGUGUGUGUGUGUGUGUGUGUGUGUGUGUGUGUGUGUGUGUGUGUGUGUGUGUGUGUGUGUGUGUGUGUGUGUGUGUGUGUGUGUGCACGCAGAUGCACUGGCUAUGUGUGUGAUUGAUAGUCACUAUGGUUGUGAUUUAAACGACUGGCCUGGCUCUUACUCCUCCAUGUUAAUCGACAUUUUCCCAGAGCUCAAAUGGGACCAUACAUUCUACCCGUCAAAGUGUCUCAUGGGAGACUUUCCAUUACUUUAAGUGAUCAUGGAGAGAGGGAUAGAUAGAAAGUCAGAGGGAAAAGAAGAAAGGCAGGAGGACCGAGAGAGAAACAGAAAGGCAGAUUGAGAAAGAGAGAGACAACACUGAGACAAGGAAGAAGAUGUGAUCUGUCAUUCCCAAGUCAUCAGAGCCACAGCUCCAGUUUCAUCCAGAAGGAAAAUGAGUUCAGCUCUGUUGUAAACCUGAGCAGUAAUGACUUGUAUAUAAAGACCCAACCCCAGUCAGAUGUCUGUGUUACUGUUGAAGGAGCACAAUGAUGACGUCACACAUGGGGUGUUGUUUCAAGAACGAACCACAGUUACAAGACACUCAUAAUCACACCAUGCCGAUGACUUUUCACCCUUUGUUGUCAAUACAAUAUUAUGUGCCAACAUUCUAAACUGUACUUUUGGGUGACAUACGGACCACAGAAGCAAAAAUGAAACAUAUUUUCAAGUGCCAUAAAAACCAUGUCAGUACAUUUGGUUCUUUAUACAUUUGAUACUGUGAUGUUGUAUAAUUUGUUCAAAUGUGUACAGUUCCUGUGUACAAUGAGGAACUUCACAAUGUUGCCUUCAGAUAGCAUACUGAACAUUGAUUUUCUUUCAUACCUGUUUUGAGUUUGCUGCUCUUAUCCAUUUGAUAAAGUUGAUGACACUGACAGUCUGUUUAUAAACCACUUAUAAACAGUAGUACAUCACUUAGGUCAGUUUUUCCUGAAAUACUCUAGCAAAGUAUUGAUUGUUUUCCUCCACACCAACAAACUGUCAUACUGAGGAACCUUAGAGUCAAAGGCUACUUCCUGUUCAUAAUACUGUGCAGUAAUACAUCAUGGAAAAGCACAAUAACUUUUAUUUUUCUUAUUUUAAAAGUAGUUGUACUGUAACAAUAUCUAUGUAUAUUUGUGUAAAUAAUCUAUUUGAAAGUAUCUUAUCCAUGUGGUUUUAAGGUUGUUGUUUUUUCAUCCUUGACACAGGCCUUUGACGUGUUGGUUUUGGUUGACUGUGAUAUGAAUGAGAUGUAACAGAGCAGGCUGGUGGGAGGAGCUAUAGGAGGUCGGGCUCAUUGUAAUGGUUGGAAUGGAACAGUGUCUGACUUAUGUUGUCUACAUGUUUGAUGUGUUUGAUGAAGUUCUAUGUACUCCAUUUCAGCCAUUACAAUGAGCCCGUUCUCCUAUUGCUCCUCCCACCAGCCACCACUGAGAUGCAAGUACAGGAAUUACAGUAUUUACCUUUGACUGGAAGCUGAGGGUAGCUGUUUCCUUUCUAAAAAGAGUAGAAUCGUAGGCUUGUCCUGCUGAGCUGAAUGAAAAAGAUCUCCAGAUUAUUUGAUUUAUGAUUUACGGCUGUACACACACACACACACACACACACACACACACACACACACACACACACACACACACACACACACACACACACACACACACACACACACACACACACACACACACACACACACACACACACACACACACACACACACACACACACACACACACACACACACACACACACACACACACACACACUCACACACACACACGCACGCACGCACGCACGCACACACACACACACACACACACACACACACACACACACACACACACACACACACACACACACACACGCUCACAUGCACACACACACACACACACACACACACACACACACACACAUGCUCACAUACACACACACACACACACACACACACACACACACACACACACACACACACACA
This is a long non-coding RNA of Oncorhynchus keta (chum salmon), 4972 nucleotides long. RefSeq lists it as uncharacterized. Lineage: Eukaryota; Metazoa; Chordata; Actinopteri; Salmoniformes; Salmonidae. The record is from RefSeq and is a predicted model, not a curated record. The transcript is spliced from 2 exons.